This 20-nucleotide non-coding RNA is filed under the name Rattus norvegicus (Norway rat). The record is from RNAcentral. Lineage: Eukaryota; Metazoa; Chordata; Mammalia; Rodentia; Muridae.
CGUAACCUGGGACAGCAAGC